This 253-nucleotide ribosomal RNA is filed under the name uncultured bacterium. Its description in RNAcentral is "partial 16S ribosomal RNA". It matches the Rfam family "Bacterial small subunit ribosomal RNA", at positions 524 to 776 of the family's 1533-position model. The record is from RNAcentral.
UACGUAGGGUGCAAGCGUUAAUCGGAAUUACUGGGCGUAAAGCGUGCGCAGGCGGUUUCGUAAGUCUGUCGUGAAAUCCCCGGGCUUAACCUGGGAAUGGCGAUGGAGACUGCUAGGCUAGAGUUUGGCAGAGGGGGGUAGAAUUCCACGUGUAGCAGUGAAAUGCGUAGAGAUGUGGAGGAACACCGAUGGCGAAGGCAGCCCCCUGGGUCAAAACUGACGCUCAUGCACGAAAGCGUGGGGAGCAAACAGG